RNAcentral lists this long non-coding RNA (1611 nucleotides) under Marmota monax (woodchuck). The record is from RNAcentral. Lineage: Eukaryota; Metazoa; Chordata; Mammalia; Rodentia; Sciuridae.
CCCCUCGCGGCGCACUUGGGAGAACCCCAGUUCCCGGCGGCCCUAGCGGCAGGUUCCCGGCACCGGCCGAGUUCGGGAUGGCGGGUGCAGGUUCUGCUGCAGUGUCCGGGGCUGGGACCCCGGUGGCCGGGCCCACAGGCCGCGACCUCUUUGCCGAGGGCCUCCUCGAGUUCCUGCGCCCGGCUGUGCAGCAGCUGGACUCCCACGUCCACGCCGUCAGGUGCCCGGGGGCCGGCGGGGCGGGCGGGGCGGGGCGGCCUGCCCGGGGAGGCUCCGGGGCCGUGGAGGCGGGGCCGGCUGGUCCCGGUACAGGGGAAACGUGGGCGGCGGGCGCGCUGACCGUGCGGCCUUGCGGCCUUUGCAGGGAGAGCCAGGUGGAGCUCCGCGAGCAGAUCGACAACCUCGCCGCGGGUGAGUGGGCGGCCCGCGGACCCAGGCAGGACCUUCGGUUCCCCGUGCCCGGCCGGGUCUCUGCCCCUUGGCCCCAGGACGUCGGGGCCCUUGGGACAGGGAGUGAAAGGAAGUGGGGGAAGGACGGGACGAUUCCGCCUUCCUAAGAGCAGGAGGUGAGCUGCCAGACGUCUGUUGCUCUUCCGUCCCCAGAAUUGUGCCGCAUCAACGAGGACCAGAAGGUGGCCUUGGAUCUCGACCCCUACGUUAAGAAGCUGCUCAACGCCCGGCGACGGGUUGUUCUGGUCAACAACAUCCUACAGAAUGCCCAGGUAAACGAAGUCCCUGCUUCAAGUCCUCAACACAAUGAGUCACGACUUUUUAAAAAUUGGGGGGAAGGGAGUGGUCAACUAGCGUCAGUAAGACUCAGUGCUCAAUAUCCACUUGCAGCCAUUGACAUCCUACGUGAACUUUGACGCAGGACCGUCCUCAGGUGUUUCCAGCACCUGGCUGGCUGAACCCCAAAGCCUUUCACAGGGGCAGUCACUAGGUUCCACCUCUUCCUGUGUCCUGUAGGAGCGGCUGAGGCGGCUAAACCACAGCGUUGCCAAGGAAACAGCCCGCAGGAGGGCAAUGCUGGACUCGGGAGUUUAUCCCCCUGGUUCCCCAAGCAAGUAACAAGAUGGCAGGGGACUGAGCAGCACAAAUAGUUGUUACCCCGCUGCCUUGUUUCAACACACGAGAAGAUUCAGGGAACAAUUUCUGCAGACUUUGGGACACCUAAACGGUUUAUUUAAAGCACUUUCUCACUUCGUGGGAACCCAAGAAACCUGCGUGCAGUAGACUCAAGUUCCCAGAGGAACUUUCGUUACAGCUCUUGCUCCCUUCCAAGAACGAAAUGAGGUUUUUUUUCUUAACUACAUAGUUAACGCCCAUCUUUUUCAGGCCUCGCCAAUCAGGCUGGAGCUUCGUUUGUUACAUGUCUGGUUAUAGUGGACCCAGGCAACAUGUCCUCUACCUGUGACUUCUCUUUUUCCUUUUGUUUACACGAGGAUUUACAAAGAGAAGAUGAAUGAACUCUGUCCACCCUCUUCUGUUGAUUGCACUGGCUUGAAUACAACAGCAGUACUGCUAGAACCAUUUGAUUCAAUAAAUGCUUAAACAGUAUUCUCAUUUACUGAUGUUUCAAGUUGCGAUCUUGGUGUUUAUGACUCAGUAUCA